CAUCGGAAGACAAAUAUUUCUGUCACAGCCUGUAUCAAGACAGUCUUAACUCAUUUUCCUCUGAUGCCUAAAACUACAAGUAGCACAAUGACUUUGCUGCACUGCCAGAAUAUUGCUGGGCAAGGAGCAUUGAAACAACCUUUCAUUCACCUGCUUUUCAUCAGAUCCUCUCCUCGAAUGAACAGCAAGCCUGAUUUUUAUUGCCAGCCUUGUGCAUGUGUUGUUGCAGAACUACAUCCAUCUGUGGACUACCUUCUCCUGAACCCUGAGCUGAGAAAAUGUCAGACCAUCUGCAAGGCCCAGUAUCCUAUUGCAGUACUGUACUGUUACAAUCCUUGUAAAAAUACAAAUGAACUUAUGAAAGUGAAACCACUGAAAUAUUUUUAUUUUUCUCUGCAAAAUCUAAAGUCAGAAGGCCUCAGGGAAGUGUUAUUAUCUAUUUCUUAUUGUAAAAACAUCUGA
RNAcentral lists this long non-coding RNA (462 nucleotides) under Apteryx haastii (Great spotted kiwi). RNAcentral describes it as "lncRNA (ENSAHAG00000014299.1)". Lineage: Eukaryota; Metazoa; Chordata; Aves; Apterygiformes; Apterygidae. The record is from RNAcentral.